RNAcentral lists this ribosomal RNA (497 nucleotides) under uncultured bacterium. RNAcentral describes it as "partial 16S ribosomal RNA". It matches the Rfam family "Bacterial small subunit ribosomal RNA", at positions 28 to 507 of the family's 1533-position model. The record is from RNAcentral.
GAUGAACGCUGGCGGCGUGCCUAAUACAUGCAAGUCGAGCGAACAGACGAGGAGCUUGCUCCUCUGACGUUAGCGGCGGACGGGUGAGUAACACGUGGAUAACCUACCUAUAAGACUGGGAUAACUUCGGGAAACCGGAGCUAAUACCGGAUAAUAUAUUGAACCGCAUGGUUCAAUAGUGAAAGACGGUUUUGCUGGCACUUAUAGAUGGAUCCGCGCCGCAUUAGCUAGUUGGUAAGGUAACGGCUUACCAAGGCAACGAUGCGUAGCCGACCUGAGAGGGUGAUCGGCCACACGGGAUCUGAGACACGGUCCAGACUCCUACGGGAGGACGCAGUAGGGAAUCUUCCGCAAUGGGCGAAAGCUGGACGGAGCAACGUCGCGUGAGUGAUGAAGGUCUUCGGAUCGUAAAACUAUGUUAUUAGGGAAGAACAAAUGUGUAAGUAACUAUGCACGUCUUGACGGUACCUAAUCAGAAAGCCACGGCUAACUACGUG